This 253-nucleotide ribosomal RNA is filed under the name uncultured bacterium. RNAcentral's name for it is "partial 16S ribosomal RNA". It matches the Rfam family "Bacterial small subunit ribosomal RNA", at positions 524 to 776 of the family's 1533-position model. The record is from RNAcentral.
UACGAAGGGGGCGAGCGUUGUUCGGAAUUACUGGGCGUAAAGGGCGCGUAGGCGGCCGCUCAAGUCAGAUGUGAAAGUCCUGGGCUUAACCUGGGGACUGCAUUUGAUACUGAUUGGCUUAAAUGCAGGAGAGGAUAGCGGAAUUCCCAGUGUAGAGGUGAAAUUCGUAGAUAUUGGGAAGAACACCGGUGGCGAAGGCGGCUAUCUGGACUGUGAUUGACGCUGAGGCGCGAAAGCGUGGGGAGCAAACAGG